CUUUACUGUAGCCUGGCAUUGAAUUUGAGUUCAUUCUGCGCAGCAUAGGUGGGAGGCAAAGACAUUAUACUUGCGGGUAUAAAAUAGCCAUCAGUGAGAUACCACUCUGAUUGAACUAGAGUUCUAAUCUUGAUGCCGUUACCCGGCCAAGAGACAUUGUCUGGUGGGCAGUUUGACUGGGGCGGUCGCCUCCUAAAAGGUAACGGAGGCGUGCAAAGGUUUCCUCAGGCUGGUCGGAAAUCAGUCGUAGAGUGUAAAGGCAUAAGGAAGCUUGACUGCGAGACCUACAAGUCAAGCAGAGACGAAAGUCGGCCUUAGUGAUCCGACAGUACUGAGUGGAAAGGCUGUCGCUCAACGGAUAAAAGUUA
This 368-nucleotide ribosomal RNA is filed under the name Polysiphonia sp. ARS-2011. Its description in RNAcentral is "bacterial LSU rRNA". It matches the Rfam family "Bacterial large subunit ribosomal RNA", at positions 2099 to 2465 of the family's 2925-position model. Lineage: Eukaryota; Rhodophyta; Florideophyceae; Ceramiales; Rhodomelaceae. The record is from RNAcentral.